This 476-nucleotide ribosomal RNA is filed under the name uncultured bacterium. RNAcentral describes it as "bacterial SSU rRNA". It matches the Rfam family "Bacterial small subunit ribosomal RNA", at positions 335 to 800 of the family's 1533-position model. The record is from RNAcentral.
ACUCCUACGGGAGGCAGCAGUGGGGAAUAUUGCACAAUGGGCGAAAGCCUGAUGCAGCGACGCCGCGUGGAGGAUGACGGUCUUCGGAUUGUAAACUCCUGUUAAGAGGGAAGAAAGAACGCGUAAGUAAUAUUUACGCGGGAUGACGGUACCUCUAGAGAAAGCUCCGGCUAACUUCGUGCCAGCAGCCGCGGUAAUACGAAGGGGAGCAAGCGUUAUUCGGAAUUACUGGGCGUAAAGGGCGUGUAGGCGGUUCGCUAAGUCAGUUGUUAAAGAUCGUGGCUUACCCACGAAAGGGCAAUUGAUACUGGUGAACUAGAGUUCAAGAGAGAGGAGUGGAAUUCUCGGAGUAGCGGUAAAAUGCGUAGAUCUCGGGAGGAACACCGAUGGCGAAGGCAGCUCUUUGGCUUGAUACUGACGCUGAGGCGCGAAAGCGUGGGGAGCAAACAGGAUUAGAUACCCCUGGUAGGUCAGUC